UUCCAUACAAUCACCGAAGUUAAGCAACAUCAAGUCUGGUUAGUACCUAGAUGGGUGACCACUUGUGAAUACCAGGUGUUGUAAG
Acanthosepion pharaonis is the source of this 85-nucleotide non-coding RNA. Lineage: Eukaryota; Metazoa; Mollusca; Cephalopoda; Sepiida; Sepiidae. The record is from the annotation of a GenBank genome assembly.